UUUUGUUUAUGUUAUGAGCCCAGUUAUAAAAUUCCUAAAACUUGUCGGCCUAUAACGUUUUGUUUUGUGUACUUUUUUCAACUAAGCAAGUUCUCUUGUUCAGGUGUCGGGAGAGGCCUAUUAAAGUGCUAAGUGGUAUACUGGUAUAGCACAGCGCCUAGCUAUGAUGCACGUGGAGAAGUCAGGAUAUCUCAGUUGAUGCGAUCAUCGAUCCUAUGGCAUCAAAAGCUCCACUUGAUAUUUCCAAGAAAAUACACGAAAGAUAAGUUAUGAUUUAUAAGCCAAGGCUUCUUCUAUGUAUGUCCAUUCAAACCCCUUAAUGUGUGUGCCAUUAUGUAAAACUAUUCUCUCUUUUUUUCGGUUUUGGCAUAAACUAAUGUGAAAUUGGGC
Arabidopsis thaliana (thale cress) is the source of this 390-nucleotide RNA transcript. RefSeq lists it as uncharacterized. The transcript has 2 exons. The record is from RefSeq. NCBI's taxonomy places the organism in Eukaryota, Viridiplantae, Streptophyta, Magnoliopsida, Brassicales, Brassicaceae.